Long non-coding RNA from Ornithodoros turicata, 4074 nucleotides. RefSeq lists it as uncharacterized. NCBI's taxonomy places the organism in Eukaryota, Metazoa, Arthropoda, Arachnida, Ixodida, Argasidae. The transcript is spliced from 4 exons. The record is from RefSeq and is a predicted model, not a curated record.
AGAUGGGGUAGGUCAGCGUAAAGUCACUGGAUUGAGGAAAGUAGCGCAGGCUUUCCUUUUCCCGUCUUGACCUUCGAAUAACAAUGGCGGCCACUGCAUGUUGUGGAAUGCUACGGCCGCCAUUGUUGUUCCAAGGACGCGGCGGCAAAGAUCAGAGGAUGGCGGUACUUUCAAAAUUGAGUGACCUUAGGUCAGCGCACCCUUGCAUGUGGUACAAAGGACUGACGGCGCGCGGCCAAGCCGCUGCCCCAUAACUGGGGAGUAGUCUAGAAAUGUAGUGUAUCUAGCAGUGCCUAUCUAGCAAAACAAUUGCUAGAUACGCUAGCUAGCGUAUUUAGCAUCAACAAACAAGACCGCCCCCGUCCCCGCCCCAUCCCGCUCUUGCGAAUGUUAAUUAGGGCUAAACCACGUGAGCGCCAGCCCACAGAUACCGACCUCACUGUAUCAUCUGAGGAAUUUACCACGUGGGCACCAGCCCACUUUCACGACUCCAUCUGGUAAGCCAUCCCUGCAACAUGCCUUUCUUAAUAUUAUAAUUAGGUGCACGCCCUACUGUGUUGGAGUAAACCACGUCAGAGUGAUACCGACCUCACUGUGUCAUCUGAGGAAUUAACCACGUGGGCACCAGCCCCCAUAUCGUAAGCCAGCCUCCAGCAAGUCCCUCGCACGCGCAACACGCGCUUCUUAUUAUAAUUAGGUUGCAUGCCUACUGUAGAUUAGAAGGAACUACAUAAAAGCACAGUUGCAAGAUCGUAUUUUAAUUAUGACUGAACUACCCCUCAGUCCCACUACAGCAGCACCCCAUCAUCUCACGAAGGUUGAACCAGCCCACGAAGCUGUCGUUAUACUUCUUAAUAAGUUUACCUCCACCCUCUCGCAGAUUUUAAACCUGACCAGUUGUGGCUGACCACGUGGGGGCACCAACCCCUUUGCUUGCCUGUAGGAUGCACUCACUGAAUGUCAUCUUAAUUGUGUAGUUCCAUCGGAAUGAUAUACCUCUUGUUUUAAAAAAACUACGUUAACAAUGAAUAAUUAGCUUAGUUAUGAAAUCAGAAAUGUGCCAUAACCGUUCAUCCAUCUAAGGAUCUUAGUAAAAAAAAAUAAUAAUAAUAAGAUUACGAAGAUUAAUUCUUUAUGGAUAGUUGCACAAUUCUUACUCGAUCCUGCAAAAGCGUAUACAAAGAGGGGAGUCAAGUCCUGUAGAUCCCAUAAACAAAUACAGAGGAAGCGUGGACCUCCACGCGAAAGCUUGUACAAAUUAAACUUAAACAAAAAUCUUCAGUGUCGGCUUCUGUAUUUUGUUUAUUGGAUCCCUGCAAGGAUAAAACGAUAGCUCGAUUCAUACAUGGCACGACAUUGUUCAAAUUUCUUUUUUUCUUAUUACGUUUUAAAGUCGACAAGUAGGACACCUCGCUAUCGUCUGCCUAAUGGAAAUGGUUGAUGAGCCAAUCGACUCCUUCCGAAGUGCGAGGAGACAGUAUAUACUUAAACUUCAGAGCGCUAAGAGCGUAACCGAAAAAAAACAAACAAAAACAGCUAGAGCCUACAGCUCUGACCUUCGACAACCGAUCGAAAAAAAUAAAAAUGCACCGGCCCCCGCCACAACAUCGUUGCGAAUUGCAAGGAUAUGGCAUAGCUAGUAUUGAGAAGUGAUUAUGGACAGGGUGCUAAGGGCGUGUAACCGACAAAAGGCUUACCGCUUCGAAAUUCGACAUCCGACGCAUCAUGGGGGAACAUCAUGAUAUUCAUUGUAGAGAUUUCAUUAAACAUGCUUGGACUUGCAGUCGACCAGGCUACCUCUCCCCAUUAAUCCGUUUUUGUGUACGACACGGAUUAACUCUCGAGAAAUGAUAAGAUCACUUUUCCGUAUUCCAUUAAGAUGUUGUUGUGUUAGCGACGCUUUGCAUAUUAGACGACGGGAUGGCUGAAGGUCACGCUGUUUUCACUCAGAAUGUGAUAUCUCUUCUGCUGAUUUGCAUGAGUACACGAGCAAGUCGAAUAAACGCUCGAAGAUACACGAUGUUAUUGCAAUAGCAAGCAUUUGCAUAUAAGACAACUCGUUGGAUAAAGGUCGUACCUUUUUACUCUAGCCGGUGUCGCCUUUGCAACUCGAAGACAGGAAAAAUAAUUACUAUGCGAUACAUGUUGCGCCGCAGGAAAAAGAAGAAGAAAAAAGACGCAGUAUACUAAUGACAGCCACCUCCAUGCUGACUGCUUUGAUUUCUGAACAGAGCGAGCCAACCCGGGUAAAGCCGUAAUUACCUCUCAAGGAUAAACGAUAAUAUCCCUUUCCUCCUCACGUCUUUGGGGCGAGACGGUCGACGCUGCAGUCUCAUAGGCAAAUGAAGCGACUUCUAUAUAAGACGGUUCGUCCGCAACGCUUUCCGGACUGAGCUGGAACGCCAAGUGAAUGCCACUUGAUUGUUUUCAGGUGGAUUCACUUGACAUUCCAGCUCAGGUUUUUCCGUGCGGGUGUUUGACUGGAAAAGCAGACUAAGAACACUUCACCUGCACGUCAAUGGCAAACAGGUCAGAAAGAAAGGAAUGUGUCUACCUUCAUUUGUGAGAUGUAGCUAGUCUUCACCCAACUCCUACGUGCAUUGGGGGAAAGCCUACUUUAGGAAAUGUUCAGUCUUGUUACUGCAUGUUUCUUUGCAUUUAAACUUAGCGAAACGGUGUUUUUUUUUUAUCGUUUGAUUUUGGUUUGACAUAAAACAUAUUUUCCAGUUCAUCUUCCUUCUUUUGCUGUAACUACUCCGAGGAGGUUGAAGGGAAGAGUUUGAGAUCUUCCUUGACAACAAGGCAAAAAUGUGUGCUAUACAAUGGAGAAGAGGUGGAAAACUUUUUUUUUUCAAGUUAAUCCACUCGGGAUUCCAGAUGAAGAUUUUUUUCUCCGUGAGAGUGUUUGACUGGAAAGACAGACUGUGGAGACGUGUUUGAGACGACACACAGGCUGCAUCCGAAAUUCGUGUGUGUAACCUCUUCUCCAUCUGCCACACACAUCUCUACCUAGCACAGGCUGCUCUUCAUCUGCGUCUGAUGAUGACGACCAUGCGCCAUCAAGCCGAGGAUCAACCUCAGGCCAUGUUGUGUCAUCGGCGGCUGACUUGUCUUGACUGGUCAUUACAAACCAAGUUCAUUCUAUACAGCAAGAGGAGAAAGCAAAUUGUCAUCAUAACAGCGAAGCCUCCAUAACACAAGUAAGCUAUGUCAUCCGUCAUGGAAAAGUUGGAUAAACUGAAAAAAUGUGGUGACGGUGAAAUUCAGAAAAUGAGCAACAUACCCAAAAACGAAAAGUUCGAAGUGCUGGACAUUCAGAAAAUUGACACUAUGUAUGGCGAGGCAGUAUACGUGGAGCUCCGCAUGGAAAACGACAAGCCAGUGAAAGUGUAUCUACCUGGACGCUUCAAAAAAUUGUCGGAGGAAGAGCUAGAGGAAAUGCGACUGCUUCCAAAUCUCAAAAUGGAGAAGAAAGAACGGUUUACCAAAGAUGGUAAAAAAGUCAUUUCGCCAGAUAUUAUCUUCACCAAUUCGAAGAGAAAGUGAUGAGAUAUGGUGACGUGUCACUUAUGCUCCCAGCACGAACGGCAGUAUUAUGCAACAGCAUUAGGUCUUCAGAUUCACUUGGCAAAUGUUCACAAUCUUCAAGCCCCCUGCAUUCCUUUUUGUGAGACUUUGUGCACACUGCGAAACUAUACUAAUCGGUUCGAGCUACAUUUACACGACAGGGACGUUAGCGGACAUGAUGUUACAACCUUUUUUCACGAGUACAGACAGUACAUUGCUGAUGUCUUACGACACUUUGGUUUCCCACUGCGCUAUUUUGUAUUGCUUAAAGUGGAACUUGGUCGUCACACGCCAGACGAUGAGUUACAGCUCGAAAUUAGUUUCGUGCCUUCCAAAGUAGUGACAGUAUGGUCAGAGGCAGAUGUAGAACCUUCUAUCACUCAAGUGACUGCUGAAAUAGCACAAAAUUUGGAAAACCUCGAAGUAGAAGGUUCAGGUUUUUUUCUCUUUCGCAUUCAUGCCUGUAUCAUGAACAUUGGACGUUUGAUGCCUCAACUGAUUGGAUGU